This 592-nucleotide ribosomal RNA is filed under the name Epalzeorhynchos kalopterus (flying fox). Its description in RNAcentral is "partial 16S ribosomal RNA". It matches the Rfam family "Bacterial large subunit ribosomal RNA", at positions 1810 to 2603 of the family's 2925-position model. The record is from RNAcentral. Lineage: Eukaryota; Metazoa; Chordata; Actinopteri; Cypriniformes; Cyprinidae.
AAAACAUCGCCUCCUGCAACACGACCAAGUAUAGGAGGUCCAGCCUGCCCAGUGACUACAAGUUCAACGGCCGCGGUAUUUUGACCGUGCAAAGGUAGCGCAAUCACUUGUCUUUUAAAUAAAGACCUGUAUGAAUGGCUAAACGAGGGCUUAACUGUCUCCCUUUUCAAGUCAGUGAAAUUGAUCUGCCCGUGCAGAAGCGGACAUAUAAAUACAAGACGAGAAGACCCUUUGGAGCUUAAGGUACAAAACUCAACCAUGUCAAGCAACUCCUUAAAAAGCAAAAACUUUGUGGAAUUUGAGAUUUUACCUUCGGUUGGGGCGACCACGGAGGAAAAAAAAGCCUCCAAGUGGAUUGGGAUAGACUUCCUAAAACCAAGAAAGACAUUUCUAAGCCACAGAACAUCUGACCAAACAUGAUCCGGCCACCAAGGCCGAUCAACGAACCAAGUUACCCUAGGGAUAACAGCGCAAUCCUCUCCCAGAGUCCAUAUCGACGAGGGGGUUUACGACCUCGAUGUUGGAUCAGGACAUCCUAAUGGUGCAGCCGCUAUUAAGGGUUCGUUUGUUCAACGAUUAAAGUCCUACGUGA